UACGUAGGUCUCAAGCGUUGUUCGGAUUCAUUGGGCGUAAAGGGUGCGUAGGUGGCGUCGUAAGUCAGGUGUGAAAUCUCGGGGCUCAACCCCGAAACUGCACUUGAUACUGCGAUGCUUGAGUAUUGGAGAGGAGAUUGGAAUUUACGGUGUAGCAGUGAAAUGCGUAGAUAUCGUAAGGAAGACCAGUGGCGAAGGCGAAUCUCUGGACGAUUACUGACACUGAGGCACGAAGGCCAGGGGAGCAAACGGG
RNAcentral lists this ribosomal RNA (253 nucleotides) under uncultured bacterium. RNAcentral describes it as "partial 16S ribosomal RNA". It matches the Rfam family "Bacterial small subunit ribosomal RNA", at positions 524 to 776 of the family's 1533-position model. The record is from RNAcentral.